Molecule: long non-coding RNA, 2683 nt
Organism: Ictalurus punctatus (channel catfish)
Lineage: Eukaryota; Metazoa; Chordata; Actinopteri; Siluriformes; Ictaluridae
Source: Ensembl
UAGACGACAAGGCAAGCCGCAGACUGGAGCGACUAGCAAGAUGUGGAUUGAAUCUCAUGGACCGGUACGCACUAAGCUUGAAAGCGAAUGAAAAUUGCUAAUGCUGAUUACGUCCUGAGCCGUGCACUGCCUAUUUGGUUGAAUCUCAGACAUGCUGAGAUUGCAAGGCUGGAAAAUGAGACAUGCGUAAUGAGAUCGGUCGGCGUGGUUAGAUCAGAGGUGUGGGUUCGGGUAUAUUUAAACCCUCCAGACAAUCGGUGUGGAUACAGUCUUCAUGCUAUGCUGUGCCACACACACACACACACACACACACACACACACACAGCAGCAAAAUGACCUUCAGGACUUUUCCACGUCUCUUAUUUUUAGAGCAGGACUCAAAGGCACAGAUUGUCACAUUCUUUUGUUGCCUGGACACACGAGCUGCCUUUCCCCAGACUGCGACGACGUGCGAUACGAUAAAUUCUAGGAAGUGAAUGACUUCAUUUUGUUGGGUUUGUACUUCUGUACGUACCGACUGGAUUAUAAACCCUGAUGUGAAGGUCUGAGGUCAGUGACAGGAGACGACCGUGCGCUUACGAGAGAUUUUGUGUUGAAAAGGACAGGUUCCGAGUGCGUCACUGUACGCAUCACAGGACUGGGAUACGCUGCUUCAUCUUGAACCCAGGUCUGACAUCAUAGGAACAGAACAGACAGAAACGUCCAAGGAGAGGCGUGACUCACAGUUCUCCAUGUUGUCUGAGAUUCAAGAAUUUCCCUUCAUUUUAAUCAGAUCCCAGGCAGCAACUGAACAGUCAGUUUUCAAAGUCGACGUGUUGGAAGCAGGAAAAAUGAGCAAGUGUAAGGAUCUGAGUGACUUUGACAAAAGCCAGAUUGUGAUGGCUGGACGACUGGGUCAGAGCAUCUCCAAAACAGCAGGUCUUGUGGGGUGUUCCCGGUAUACAGUGGUUAGAACCUAUAAAAAGUAGUUCAAGAAAGAACAACCGGUGAACCAGCAACAGAGUGAUGGGCUCCCAAGGCUCACUGGUGCACAUGGGGAGCGAAGGCUAGCUAAUCUGGUCCGAUCCCACAGAAGAGCUACUGUAGCGCAAAUUGCUGAAAGAUUGAAUGCUGGCUCUGAUAGAAAGGUGUCAGGACACAAUGCAUCCUAGCUUGCUGCGUAUGAGGCUGUGUAGCUGCAGACUGAUCAGAGUGCCCAUGCUGACCUCAGUAAACUGCCCAAUGCACCUACAAUGGGCACGUGAGCAUCAGAACUGCAUAAUGGAAUUAAAGCGAAGGUGAAGAAGACCAUGGAGCCAAAGAGAAGAUGGCCUGGUCUGAUGGAUCAUGUUUUCUUUUACAUCAUGUGGACGGCUGUGUGUGUGUGUGUGUGUGUGUGUGUGUGUGUGUGUGUGUCGCUUACCUGGGGAAGAGAUGGCACCAGGAUGCACUAGGGGAAGAAGGCAAGCAGGUGGAGGAAGUGUGAUGCUCUGGGCAAUGUUCUGCUGGGAAUCCUCGGGUCCUGGCAUUCAUGUGGUUGUUACUUUGACACGUACCACCUAUAUAAACAUUGUUGCAGACCAAGUACACCUCUUCAUGGCAGCAGUAUUCCUUAAUGGCUGUGGCCUCUUUCAGCAGGGUAUUGCUCCCUGCCACACUGCAAAAACGGUUCAGGAACAGUUUGAGGAACAUGACAAAGAGUUCAAGGUGUUGACUCGGCCUCCAAAUUCCUCAGAUCUCAAUCCGAUCAGGCGUCUGUGGGAUGAGCUGGACAAACAAGUCCGAUCCAAGAAAUUCAUUCUGAUUCAUGGAGGAGUUCAGAAAUGUCGUCCUUCUUACCAUCACAGUGUGCACCUCAUUAAUUUUCCAUGGAUGGCUGAUAGACUUUUUGCCAUUCAGGAAGUGUCAUGCAGUGCCUCGGAAGUGGUGUUCCCUGUGUUUCCUUAAUUACUGCUGAUACAGAAUGAUAUUAGGAAUUUCACUCACAUAUAGGCACAGCACCGGGAUAAGCCCUGCUGCACAAACUAUAUUAACUAUGAACAAAUAAUCAAGUUGCUUUCACCGAACAAAAUAACACAUCUAGAUAGACCUUUACACACAAACACACACACACCCCCCACACACACACACAAAUAUAUAUAUAUUUUAUUUAUUUUAUUUUUUAAAGGUAGGAAGGUGAAGAUUCACAACUGAAAAACUGAAGCUCAACACAUAAUUUUUUUUUUUUUUUUUUUUACAAAAAUUUAACAUAAGAUUAUGAAAACUUUAAUUUACGUGUAGAAUGCACACAUAAUUUUAUCUUUAUAUGAAUGUAAAUGUUAUAGCUUCAACAUUUGACAUUUAAGAGGAAAGACUUAAAUUUCAGGUUAGUUCCAUAAAUGAAAGCCUAAGAGUGUAUAAAAAUAUUACGUAAUGAUUCAGCGGGUAAAGCCGUACACACAAAAAUAGAGAAAAAUUCAUUCUUUUAAGUUCAGUCAACAUACAUGGAUAAGACUAUUUGGUUUGUUUAUAUUCCAGUUUGUUUGUUGUCGUUGUUUGCCUGUAUAUGUAUUGAAAAAGAAAUGUCAGCGAGUAGUCUGAAAUUGAUGAAAAAAUGUUCAGAACAAAACACAAAGGAUAAUAAAAUAAUUUUAAGUUUAAAGGAAGAAACCUUUAAACCUUUACCUGGAAUUUGCCCCACAAAUGUCCUAUGUGACAAUGUGAA